GCAGCAGCUGCAUUUAUCCCUCGGAUCGUCUAUCUUCACACACACACACCUUUCGUCCUCCUUCCUAUCUCCUCCAAGCCAUGGCGGCACAACUAUAGCCCGUGCAGCGAGGCAAGCUUUUUCCUAGGGGAGAAGAAGCAGCAGGCAAACCAGCAAGCGCAAAAAUGGACACUAAUGCAGAUCUCGAAGAGCUUGAGGCGCAAAACACAGAGUUAAACGAGUUCAACGCGGUGCAAGGUCCAAUAGCAGUUACGUCUAGGAUUUCAGUGCAGAAACUAUGCAAUGUGUUCUCUCAGUUCAAUGAUUUCAAGAAGCAGCUAAUCAGAGACAUCGGAUUCGGAGGUGUACUUGCCAUCAAGACUCUUCCCAAGUUGAAUCUGAAGUUUAGUUCUUGUUUAAUGGAGAAGGUAAACCCAGAGACAAGAGAAAUUUUAAUAGAAGAUUAUCGCGCGAUCAUGUUUUCCUCCCAAGACGUUAGCAACGUGUUUGGGAUUCCUUGUGGUGCAAAGAAAAUAUCUUCGUACCCAACAGAGUUGUCAGAGGCUUGUGCAGAGUUCAAAAAAUUCGCUGAAGACAUGAGCGACAAGGGUGUACACAGCUUGAAGGCUGCUGAAGCCAUACUGGUGAAGCACUUGGAUGCAGAGUCAAGAACACUAGACAUAGACAUGUUCAAGAUUGCUUCUGUCAUUUUUGUAGUUGGGCACAUGUUAUGCCCAUCAUCAAAAAACGAAUACACUACUGUCGAUUACGGGGGAGCUCUGAGCACAACUGCAGAGAUCAGCGAGCACAACUGGGCUGAACUUGUGGUCGAGCACCUACUUGCGGCUGUGCGGAAGCUAAAGUCUGAUCUCCACACUCGGCACUCGACUAUACACUUGCUUGGUUGCCAUUUGUUUCUUCAUGUAUGGCACGCGUUGGCACAUUUACUUCCUUUUUAAUAUUUUUUACACAAAGCAAGGUUUUUGUCCUCGACAACCUUGACCUUGGAUCGCUUACAUGUCGUGACACAUCGUUGCCGAGGAUCAAAAUUUUCGACUACGACACGAUCCGCAAGAUGAUAGACUCACUGAACAUCAGUCAGAGUGGCGAGCCAACGUUCAUGCUUGCCAGGGUAUGCUAGUGCCACCAUUUUCCCAGUAUCCCAGUUAAAAAACCCAAACCGAAAAAUGUCCAACUUUCCAGUUUUCCAAUUCAUUUCAUCGUCAAUGCAUCUGCUUAUAUGUAAAUUUACAACUCAAGGCGCAUCCGAAACACGACAUCAAUCCAGCAGCACGUGUGCUCACCUUUAUUUACAGGCCCAAAGCAGAACAAAGUGUUCAAGACCCCAGAUAACACUUCACGCCAGUAUAAUCCGAGCCCGAUAUGCAACCAAAUGGUUCAUGAUACAACUAGGAAAGGUCCUUCAAAUUUUGCCCUUCACCUUCGGGAACGGUACCCAGACAUGGUGGCAGACCCUAUAGCCAUUUUCUUAAGGGAGCACAACGCAAGGGUAGUGAGAAAUAUGUCCGAAUUGCAGCAGAAGUACCAUAAAGAAAGGGAAAAUCUAUUGAGAGGCUCUGGCGUACCGUGCGGCGGCGGUUCGUAAAGAUUCGUGCAGAAUCUUGCGGUUGCCAGCGCGCGACCGACCGCCCCGACCCGCCCACUUUUUUUACGCCCCCAGGCGGGGGACUGUUCAAAUUCGGUUUUUUUUUUCAUUAUCCGCGCCCCAUUCUACUCACAAGCCGUUGCUCCCGAGAGUCAGUCUGGCGAAAGCGGAGGCGGAUCCGGCGAUCCCCGCGCGACGAACUGCGGGUUCGGCCCGAGGAAUAGGGGGAUCCGGUGCGGCGUAGGGUGGAUCUGCAACUGUCGCCGGCGCUGGAGGGCGAGGAACUCAGGGAUUUCUGAAAAUGCCAAGGAGAAAGAGGAACUGGACGGAACACACUGUAGGUGGUAGGGGAGCAGUCAAUAAGGGCCACAUUGACGGUACUGAGCGAAAUAGGGCAUCACCACAGGCUAUUUGCAAGCUAUACAAGCACAUAAAUGAAGAUCAACGUGCUGCUAUCAGAGACAUGGGUACUGGAGCGUUCCUUGACAUCAAGUGUGGUUACUUGCACAACACCCUUGUGACAUGGUUCACUAGACAGUACCACUCAGGGAGGAAAGGUUUUGUUGUGCCUAGACGUGGGUUCAUCCCACUAACCGAGGAAUCUGUUCAUAAGAUUUUGGGCAUUCCUCGUGGAGAUAUCGAAAUCAAGUAUGAAGCUGACUACGACAAUGAAGAUGAAAUUGCAAGCUCUUUGUUCCCAGGCGAUGGCAGCAGGCCAAAGAUCACGACAGUUGCUACUGCAAUCAUCAACAACAACAAUGGUGAUGCUAGUUUUAAGAAGUUAUGGCUUAUUUAUAUCGUCUCAACCAUGUUGGCUCCUACAACGGAUACAAGGAUCAGCAACAAGUGCUACCCCAUGCUGGGAACACAUUGAGCAGUCAAACAGGCUCAACUUGUGCAAUUUUGUUGUGGCCCAGCUACAUGAGCACCUCUCAAAGGGCAAGUUCACAAAAGGAUGCCUUCUUUACUGCAUGGUGAGUGACAAUCCAAAAUCAAAAGUACAAACCCAGCGAAUAAUUUUGUUGUGGCCCAGCUACAUUUUGUCUUUCUUUUGUAUCUGUUUCUGUACCCAAAAACCAGGCAACUAUGGUUUUUUUUAAAAUUGGCAGUUAGUGUGUAUAUAUCUGACAACCAGCUUAUAUAUAUUUGACAACUAUGUUUAUUUGAAUCUGGCAAUCAGCUUUUAACUGAUUUGUGUCUUUUUGUAUUAUUUGUUGCAUCCACACCUACGGUAUCUUGAUGCUUUGGAUUGCGAUGACAUGGAGCUUGAGUUACCCGACACCCCGUACACAAUUAAUGCAUGGUCCAAGACACAUGUCGAUGUUGUCGCUGAGAUGGACAUGCUCGAGCAUGAUCCACCCAGUUUUGACAACUUUCAGUUGAAGGGAGAAUUUAGAGAGGAGAGUCACAGCAGAUUUGAUCUGUUUGGGGGACCUGGGGGCUUCGAAACCUGGAUGAAGCAAAAUAUACAUCCUAGUUGCUCUCAAAGUGAUAAGCUUAAAGCUACCACAGUUAUCAACAAGUUUGCAUCAGGGGUUGGCACAUUGUUUAAUCAGUUUGCAUCAGGGGUUGACACACUCCUUACAGAGCUCGUGCAGGGACUGACGGCACCCGCAACCAGAAAUACAACUACAAGUAGAAUAAAAAGGGGCACCGAGGAAAGAGAAAGUGAUGAUACAUCGUCCGAAGAUUCAGCAUAAUCUGAUAAUGACACAAAUGAGGACAACGUGGAUAUUGAACGUGACAAAAAGAAGAGGGUGGCAAGAAAGGAGGACAUCACCAGAGGCAAUGUCGAAUCACCAUUGACAAAAAAUGCGAGAUUCACUUCGCAGCAAAGGAAACAUUGGUCUCAUCUACCACACAAACGCUGUAAUGAGAAGAAUCAAGGAAGCAUGGAAGUUAUACUACGAUAAGUCGAGGGUUCAGGUUGAAAACUACGAACUCGAGAUCAUUGACACCCCAAAACAGGCUGUAAGCACAAAUAGGAGUGUGCACUGUGGCUUCUACAUGCUGGAAUAUCUUGAUAAGUGGGAUGGUGUAAAUGUGCCUCGAAUUCGGAAAGAGGACAUCCAAAAAAUAAAGAAGAUAACAGCCAACAAAUGGCUCAACGCUCCUUUCAACGAAAACUAAAAGUGGAAACAGCAGCUUGACAGCAACUGUCCGGGAGGGGAUUUGAGAUCAGAAGCUGAAGAUCCAGAGGGAGAAAGAGAGGUGGAUAUCUGAAAACAAGAGAGGUGGCCAAGAAAAAGAGAGAGGGGUUGCCUUUUUGAGUUGGAGAAAACAAGAGAUCUGAGGGUGCUGUUUUUUUAGUCCUUUUCUGUAAGCAGAUUCAUAUUUGUGGGAAACUCCAGAAUUUAGAUGGAGUAGUUGCAUACCUGUAUUUUUUUUACUGCCUUGGAUCACUUGGACAACUCCAGAAAUUGUCUCUUUUCUUGA
This is a long non-coding RNA of Hordeum vulgare subsp. vulgare (domesticated barley), 4021 nucleotides long. RefSeq lists it as uncharacterized. The record is from RefSeq and is a predicted model, not a curated record. NCBI's taxonomy places the organism in Eukaryota, Viridiplantae, Streptophyta, Magnoliopsida, Poales, Poaceae. The transcript has 12 exons.